AGAGUUUGAUCCUGGCUCAGGACGAACGCUGGCGGCGUGCCUAACACAUGCAAGUCGAACGAGGUCCAUCCGGUAGCAAUACUGGUGAAGAUCAAGUGGCGAACGGGUGAGUAGCACGUGAGCAACCUGCCCCGAAGACCGGGACAACACCGGGAAACCGGUGCUAAUACCGGAUACCCCCACCGAAUCGCAUGGUUUGGUGAGGAAAUGGAUUCCGCUUCGGGAGGGGCUCGCGGCCUAUCAGCUUGUUGGUGAGGUAACGGCUCACCAAGGCUUCGACGGGUAGCUGGUCUGAGAGGACGAUCAGCCACACUGGGACUGAGACACGGCCCAGACUCCUACGGGAGGCAGCAGUGGGGAAUCUUGCACAAUGGGCGAAAGCCUGAUGCAGCAACGCCGCGUGAGGGACGAAGGCUUUCUGAGUUGUAAACCUCUUUCAGCAGGGACGAUUGUGACGGUACCUGCAGAAGAAGCCCCGGCCAACUACGUGCCAGCAGCCGCGGUAAUACGUAGGGGGCAAGCGUUGUCCGGAUUUAUUGGGCGUAAAGAGCUCGUAGGCGGCUUGGCAAGUCGGAUGUGAAACCUCCAGGCUCAACCUGGAGUCGCCAUUCGAUACUGCCAUGGCUAGAGUUUGGUAGGGGACCACGGAAUUCCUGGUGUAGCGGUGAAAUGCGCAGAUAUCAGGAGGAACACCAGCGGCGAAGGCGGUGGUCUGGGCCAAUACUGACGCUGAGGAGCGAAAGCGUGGGGAGCGAACAGGAUUAGAUACCCUGGUAGUCCACGCCGUAAACGUUGGGCACUAGGUGUGGGGACCUAUCGACGGUUUCUGUGCCGCAGCUAACGCAUUAAGUGCCCCGCCUGGGGAGUACGGCCGCAAGGCUAAAACUUAAAGGAAUUGA
This 899-nucleotide ribosomal RNA is filed under the name uncultured Actinomycetes bacterium. RNAcentral's name for it is "bacterial SSU rRNA". It matches the Rfam family "Bacterial small subunit ribosomal RNA", at positions 8 to 913 of the family's 1533-position model. Lineage: Bacteria; Bacillati; Actinomycetota; Actinomycetes. The record is from RNAcentral.